Long non-coding RNA from Ipomoea nil (Japanese morning glory), 295 nucleotides. RefSeq lists it as uncharacterized. Lineage: Eukaryota; Viridiplantae; Streptophyta; Magnoliopsida; Solanales; Convolvulaceae. The transcript is spliced from 3 exons. The record is from RefSeq and is a predicted model, not a curated record.
CGUGGCGGUUUGAGCUCUGGUGCUUGCGCCGUAGGUUUCUUAACGGUGAACUCGCACGUCACUGCUUCAACUCCAUCUUGAGAUGGAGAAAAGGACAAAAGCGUCCCAUCGCUCCCUCAGCCCACGAAGCUACACGUCACCGAUGAUUUAAAAACGCCGAUGCUUUGUGAACAUCAACAUCGUAAUAACAGUAAGUCAUAGGGGCAUUUCGGUAAUCUCAGUUUCCCCAAAUCAAUGAUGUGCAUUCCAUAGCCCACCUUUACCGACUUAUCAAACCCCAUUCUGCCUGCGACUC